GGGGAAUAUUGGACAAUGGGGGCAACCCUGAUCCAGCCAUGCCGCGUGAGUGAUGAAGGCCUUAGGGUUGUAAAGCUCUUUCGUCAGGGAAGAUAAUGACGGUACCUGAAGAAGAAGCCCCGGCUAACUUCGUGCCAGCAGCCGCGGUAAUACGAAGGGGGCUAGCGUUGUUCGGAAUUACUGGGCGUAAAGCGCACGUAGGCGGACAUUUAAGUCAGGGGUGAAAUCCCGGGGCUCAACCCUGGAACUGCCUUUGAUACUGGGUGUCUUGAGUACGAGAGAGGUGAGUGGAAUUCCGAGUGUAGAGGUGAAAUUCGUAGAUAUUCGGAAGAACACCAGUGGCGAAGGCGGCUCACUGGCUCGUAACUGACGCUGAGGUGCGAAAGCGUGGGGAGCAAAC
This 400-nucleotide ribosomal RNA is filed under the name uncultured bacterium. RNAcentral describes it as "bacterial SSU rRNA". It matches the Rfam family "Bacterial small subunit ribosomal RNA", at positions 356 to 773 of the family's 1533-position model. The record is from RNAcentral.